This 253-nucleotide ribosomal RNA is filed under the name uncultured bacterium. RNAcentral describes it as "partial 16S ribosomal RNA". It matches the Rfam family "Bacterial small subunit ribosomal RNA", at positions 524 to 776 of the family's 1533-position model. The record is from RNAcentral.
UACGGGGGGGGCAAGCGUUGUUCGGAUUCACUGGGCGUAAAGGGUGCGCAGGUGGGCUGGCAAGUUCGAUGUGAAAGCCCCGGGCUUAACCCGGGAAUGGCAUUGGAAACUGCCGGUCUGGAGGGUUGGAGGGGGGACUGGAAUUCUUGGUGUAGCAGUGAAAUGCGUAGAUAUCAAGAGGAACACCAGUGGCGAAGGCGAGUCCCUGGACAAACCCUGACACUGAGGCACGAAAGCCAAGGGAGCAAACAGG